This 191-nucleotide small nuclear RNA is filed under the name Jaculus jaculus (lesser Egyptian jerboa). RNAcentral describes it as "U2 spliceosomal RNA (ENSJJAG00000004706.1)". It matches the Rfam family "U2 spliceosomal RNA". Rfam says of the family: U2 is a small nuclear RNA (snRNA) component of the spliceosome (involved in pre-mRNA splicing). The record is from Rfam by way of RNAcentral. Lineage: Eukaryota; Metazoa; Chordata; Mammalia; Rodentia; Dipodidae.
AUCACUUCUCGGCCUUUUGGCUAAGAUCAAGUGUAGUAUCUGUUCUUAUCAGUUUAAUAUCUGAUAUGUCCUCUAUCUGUGGAUAAUAUAUUAAAUGGAUUUUUGAAGCUCGGAGUUGGAAUAGGAGCUUGCUCCGUCCACUCCACGCAUCGACCUGGUAUUGCAGUACCUAUAGAAAUGGUGCACCCCCU